AAAACAUUGAGAGUUUACACUGAAAAUUUGGAGAAGAAAAAUUAAAAAGAAACUUAAAAUAGAUGUAGACCACACACAAUGCACCCGGUUGCAAAAUCCAGUGCCAGAGAACCCCCGACUCAGCUCAGCCUGUCCACCCGUGAUUUUGGAAGACGCUCUCUGUAGCUCAGUCGUGAAUCUGGAGUGCACUCUGAAAUCUUCAACACAAUUGCCUCGGCCCACGUGAGGCAGAUGGUAGAGCCUUGCCUCAGUUGAGCUCUCGGGAAGAAUCCAUUUCCUUGCCUUUUCCAGCUUCUAGAGGCCCCCCACAUUCCCUGGCUCACACCCCAUCUUCAAAGCCGGCAGCAGUGGAGAGACAAAGAUACUAACCAUGCUGAACCGCGCAUCUACUAAAAUAUGCUGAAGACUGAAAAAGAAAAAAUGUAAAUGAGCCCCUAGAAGAAAUCCUUUCAGUUCUUUUUUCAUCAGAAUGGUACCUUUCCACGGCUAAAGACACUCAAGACCUGCGUGCUCCUGUGUUCAGCCUCCCAGAUUUCCUGGGACAUCACGCAAAUUGUCUCUUCAAUCGCCUUUCACGCGUGUGUUAACCACGUCUUCACCGGGUUGCUGGCCCACUCUUUCUGUAGGACACCCUCUUGCAUAGCACACUCCUCCUAUAAAACGUGGACUUCUAUAAUAAUGUGGACUUCUCCUAUAAAACGUGGACUUCUAUAAUAACGAGGACUUCUCCUAUAAAACGUGGACUUCUAUAAUAACAUGGACUUCUCCCAUGUUUGUGUCAGUGAUUUCCUUUCCCUCUUAUCUCAAGCCUUCUUCUUUUUCUAUCACAUUUUCUAUCACAUUCUAUCUCAAUCUCCUUUUUCUAUCACAUUUCCUACAUUCGUGCCUGUGAGUUUAUGCAGCUAUUGAUGUUGUCAUACAGUCCAUAACAAUAAAUACAAAAUCCAUACUGAGAAGUCUAAUGCUUCACUACUGUAAAUGCUGUUCAGAAGGAUGAGCACAUGGAAGGCUAGUCCCUUCACUUCUGAGCAACAACGAGGGCAUCUCUAGGGUCGAUUAGAAUCCUCUCUUAUUCGUGACUGGCUCGCAAUCAGAGGACAAUAUUUCAGAGAGUGAAUACAGCAGUGCCCUUACAAGUCUACUGAAAUAGGAUCUAAAAAGCUGUAAAACUUAUCACAAAUAUUGCCACCUUUUUUAUCCAUUCAGGAAUUCCUGUUUUGAAGCCUUUAGCAUUAGUCAUGAAGCCAAAACAAAUUUUAAAAUAAGAGCAAAUUGUAAAAAAAAAAAGGAAAUUUUUCCCUACUGUACCAUUUCUAGGAAAUAAGUGGUUGAUAACCUACAGUACAUAUCACUGUGCCCAGCACAUCAAGAGCUCUCAGUCAAUGACUCUUGAAUGGAC
Molecule: long non-coding RNA, 1399 nt
Filed under: Equus caballus (horse)
Lineage: Eukaryota; Metazoa; Chordata; Mammalia; Perissodactyla; Equidae
Description: lncRNA (ENSECAG00000050335.1)
Source: RNAcentral